AACGAACGCUGGCGGCAGGCCUAACACAUGCAAGUCGAGCGAGGACUUCGGUCCUAGCGGCGGACGGGUGAGUAACGCGUGGGAACGUGCCCUUUGGUACGGAAUAGCCCCGGGAAACUGGGAGUAAUACCGUAUGGUGUCUUCGGACUAAAGAUUUAUCGCCAAAGGAUCGGCCCGCGUUGGAUUAGGUAGUUGGUGGGGUAAUGGCUACCAAGCCGACGAUCCAUAGCUGGUUUGAGAGGAUGAUCAGCCACACUGGGACUGAGACACGGCCCAGACUCCUACGGGAGGCAGCAGUGGGGAAGUC
Molecule: ribosomal RNA, 307 nt
Filed under: uncultured bacterium
Lineage: Bacteria
Description: bacterial SSU rRNA
Rfam family: Bacterial small subunit ribosomal RNA
Source: RNAcentral